CUCGACACCUCGAUCGCUUUAAAAUUAUGUUUCAGCCCUGUAAAUUUACGUCGAUGGGAGGGGUUCGCUGGUCGUUCAAGAAGCCCACCCCGUCGUUAGUUGGGGUCAUGUACUUGUAUCUUUUCUAACCAGCUAUGAGCGGUUAAUUUUCGAGCAUGAAUAGCAAGCGGCGGCUGGGUCGACGCCGUUUCUCUCCCCUGUCCGUCCUCCGAUUGCGGAGGCGGCAACAGUGACGACAACUGUGCCGGAGGGACGACCUGGAGGCGAGGGCUACUCCCCACCCUGGCGUGUGGAGUACUCCCCCGUUCCCUCUCUCAUGCGACCAGGAGUCGAAGUGGCGACAGUGCAAAGAUCCGAUCGACGCGAGUUCGGCGGCGACAGCGGCCUUCUCCGGCAUCCCUCCCCACCGCUGUUCGUCUUCUCGCCGGAGCGGAGCAAAGGAAGCACGGGUUGCCCAACAAGCUGCUCCUCCGGUUGCCGCCGCACAAUGAGAAGGCAGUGGACGGGAAGAGUGGAGCUCCUCGUUGAUCUCAAGCGCAAAUUUUGGGAUUCAGCCCCAACAAGAACCCUCAUUCUAUCCGACAACAAAAAGCCCUUAUUUUGUACGCGGUUCAUCCUCACUUAUUAAUAGAGAACGUACUAUUGCUUGCUUCGUCAGUUAUCAAUAGCGAGCUAAAUUUGUUUUUUCAGGCUAAAAGAAGCAGAUUGGUCGUAGUCGGUUGCUUAUAUGUAGAAAGGUGUCUUUUUGUUUUUUUAUCAAGGAAUUGAUGGCAAAGGAUAUUUGCGUUGAUGUUUUGGUAGUCGCUUGUGUAGACCAUGUUUGUUUCAGUGGGCAGUGCAACAUAGAAACACGACCUCUGCAGACUCAAGUCGCUGCACUAUGUUGCCCUGAUGUGUUCUUUCUUAUUUUUGUAUUCUUCCCAAGAUUUGGUGUUUCCUCUUUUCUGAAUAAGAACACUAGAUUAUGGAUAUUUUUAGAGAAUAAGAAAUGCAAUCGUUGUAUCAUGCAUGAUAAUAGAUUUACUUUGAUUGUAGGUUAA
Molecule: long non-coding RNA, 1040 nt
Organism: Triticum aestivum (bread wheat)
Lineage: Eukaryota; Viridiplantae; Streptophyta; Magnoliopsida; Poales; Poaceae
Exons: 2
Source: RefSeq, a predicted model, not a curated record